This 919-nucleotide ribosomal RNA is filed under the name uncultured bacterium. Its description in RNAcentral is "bacterial SSU rRNA". It matches the Rfam family "Bacterial small subunit ribosomal RNA", at positions 11 to 923 of the family's 1533-position model. The record is from RNAcentral.
GUUUGAUCCUGGCUCAGAUUGAACGCUGGCGGCAUGCCUUACACAUGCAAGUCGAACGGCAGCACGGGAGCAAUCCUGGUGGCGAGUGGCGAACGGGUGAGUAAUAUAUCGGAACGUGCCCAGUCGUGGGGGAUAACGCAGCGAAAGCUGUGCUAAUACCGCAUACGAUCUACGGAUGAAAGCGGGGGACUCAGCAAUGAGCCUCGCGCGAUUGGAGCGGCCGAUAUCAGAUUAGCUAGUUGGUGGGGUAAAAGCCCACCAAGGCGACGAUCUGUAGCUGGUCUGAGAGGACGACCAGCCACACUGGAACUGAGACACGGUCCAGACUCCUACGGGAGGCAGCAGUGGGGAAUUUUGGACAAUGGGCGCAAGCCUGAUCCAGCAAUGCCGCGUGCAGGAUGAAGGCCUUCGGGUUGUAAACUGCUUUUGUACGGAACGAAAAGGUCUGCCCUAAUACGGCGGGCUCAUGACGGUACCGUAAGAAUAAGCACCGGCUAACUACGUGCCAGCAGCCGCGGUAAUACGUAGGGUGCGAGCGUUAAUCGGAAUUACUGGGCGUAAAGCGUGCGCAGGCGGUUAUAUAAGACAGAUGUGAAAUCCCCGGGCUCAACCUGGGACCUGCAUUUGUGACUGUAUAGCUAGAGUACGGUAGAGGGGGAUGGAAUUCCGCGUGUAGCAGUGAAAUGCGUAGAUAUGCGGAGGAACACCGAUGGCGAAGGCAAUCCCCUGGACCUGUACUGACGCUCAUGCACGAAAGCGUGGGGAGCAAACAGGAUUAGAUACCCUGGUAGUCCACGCCCUAAACGAUGUCAACUGGUUGUUGGGUCUUCACUGACUCAGUAACGAAGCUAACGCGUGAAGUUGACCGCCUGGGGAGUACGGCCGCAAGGUUGAAACUCAANGAAUUGACGGGGACCCG